RNAcentral lists this ribosomal RNA (316 nucleotides) under uncultured bacterium. RNAcentral describes it as "bacterial SSU rRNA". It matches the Rfam family "Bacterial small subunit ribosomal RNA", at positions 28 to 334 of the family's 1533-position model. The record is from RNAcentral.
GACGAACGCUGGCGGCGUGCCUAAUACAUGCAAGUAGAACGCUGAGGACUGGCGCUUGCACCGGUUCAAGGAGUUGCGAACGGGUGAGUAACGCGUAGGUAACCUACCUCAUAGCGGGGGAUAACUAUUGGAAACGAUAGCUAAUACCGCAUGACAAUGGAGGACCCAUGUCUUUCAUUUAAAAGGUGCAACUGCAUCACUAUGGGAUGGACUCGCGGCUUAUCAGCUUGUUGGUGGGGUAGUGGCUUACCAAGGCUUUGACGGGUAGCCGGCCUGAGAGGGUGACCGGCCACAUUGGGACUGAGAUACGGCCCAG